RNAcentral lists this ribosomal RNA (443 nucleotides) under uncultured bacterium. RNAcentral's name for it is "partial 16S ribosomal RNA". It matches the Rfam family "Bacterial small subunit ribosomal RNA", at positions 338 to 795 of the family's 1533-position model. The record is from RNAcentral.
CCUACGGGUGGCUGCAGUGGGGAAUAUUGCGCAAUGGGGGAAACCCUGACGCAGCAACGCCGCGUGAAGGAAGAAGGAUCUUGGUCUGUAAACUUCUUUAAUCUGUGACGAAACAAAUGACGGUAGCAGAGGAAUAAGCUCCGGCUAACUACGUGCCAGCAGCCGCGGUAAUACGUAGGGGGCAAGCGUUGUCCGGAUUUACUGGGUGUAAAGGGUGCGUAGGCGGGUAUUUAAGUCAGAUGUGAAAUCCACAGGCUCAACUUGUGGUCUGCAUUUGAAACUGGGUAUCUUGAGUGCAGGAGAGGAAAGCGGAAUUCCUAGUGUAGCGGUGAAAUGCGUAGAUAUUAGGAGGAACACCAGUGGCGAAGGCGGCUUUCUGGACUGUAACUGACGCUGAGGCACGAAAGUGUGGGGAGCAAACAGGAUUAGAUACCCUUGUAGUC